CUACACGGGUAUCUAAUCCUGUUUGCUCCCCACGCUUUCGUACCUCAGCGUCAACAAUAGUCCAGUGAGUCGCCUUCGCCACUGGUGUUCCUCCGAAUAUCUACGAAUUUCACCUCUACACUCGGAAUUCCACUCACCUCUCCUAUGUUCAAGCUAGCCAGUUUCAAGGGCAGUUCUGAGGUUGAGCCCCAGGCUUUCACCCCUGACUUGACAAGCCGCCUACGUACGCUUUACGCCCAGUGAUUCCGAACAACGCUAGCCCCCUCCGUAUUACCGCGGCGGCUGGCAC
Molecule: ribosomal RNA, 289 nt
Filed under: uncultured Sphingomonadales bacterium
Lineage: Bacteria; Pseudomonadati; Pseudomonadota; Alphaproteobacteria; Sphingomonadales
Description: partial 16S ribosomal RNA
Source: RNAcentral